This 21-nucleotide non-coding RNA is filed under the name Caenorhabditis elegans. Lineage: Eukaryota; Metazoa; Nematoda; Chromadorea; Rhabditida; Rhabditidae. The record is from RNAcentral.
UUUUUUGGCUGGCCUAACCAU